Molecule: ribosomal RNA, 371 nt
Filed under: uncultured organism
Description: bacterial SSU rRNA
Rfam family: Bacterial small subunit ribosomal RNA
Source: RNAcentral
CGAAGGGGGCUAGCGUUGCUCGGAAUCAUUGGGCGUAAAGGGCGCGUAGGCGGCCGGAUUUGUCAGGCGUGAAAAUCCUGGGCUCAACCCAGGGACUGCGUUUGAAACGGUCCGGCUGGAGGACGGAAGAGGCUCGUGGAAUUCCCAGUGUAGAGGUGAAAUUCGUAGAUAUUGGGAAGAACACCGGUGGCGAAGGCGGCGAGCUGGUCCGUUACUGACGCUGAGGCGCGACAGCGUGGGGAGCAAACAGGAUUAGAUACCCUGGUAGUCCACGCCGUAAACGAUGUGCGCUGGAUGUUGGGUGCCAUAGGCACUCGGUGUCGUAGUUAACGCGGUAAGCGCACCGCCUGGGGAGUACGGCCGCAAGGUUG